Molecule: unclassified non-coding RNA, 520 nt
Filed under: uncultured Glomus
Lineage: Eukaryota; Fungi; Glomeromycota; Glomeromycetes; Glomerales; Glomeraceae
Description: SSU rRNA
Rfam family: Eukaryotic small subunit ribosomal RNA
Source: RNAcentral
AGCAGCCGCGGUAAUUCCAGCUCCAAUAGCGUAUAUUAAAGUUGUUGCAGUUAAAAAGCUCGUAGUUGAAUUUCGGGAUCAGUUGAUCGGUCGUGCCUCGGUACGUACUGGUCAAAUUGAUUCCUACCUUCUGACGAACCACGAUGUCAUUAAUUUGGUGUCGUGGGAAAUCAGGACUGUUACUUUGAAAAAUUAGAGUGUUUAAAGCAGGCUCGCGCUUGAAUACAUUAGCGUGGAAUAAUGAAAUAGGACGUUUGAUUCUAUUUUGUUGGUUUCUAGGAUCGACGUAAUGAUUAAUAGGGAUAGUUGGGGGCAUUAGUAUUCAAUUGUCAGAGGUGAAAUUCUUGGAUUUAUUGAAGACUAACUACUGCGAAAGCAUUUGCCAAGGAUGUUUUCAUUAAUCAAGAACGAAAGUUAGGGGAUCGAAGACGAUCAGAUACCGUCGUAGUCUUAACCAUAAACUAUGCCGACUAGGGAUCGGAUGAUGUUAAUUUUUAAUGACUCAUUCGGCGCCUUACGG